RNAcentral lists this long non-coding RNA (617 nucleotides) under Lupinus mutabilis. RNAcentral describes it as "partial ncRNA". The record is from RNAcentral. Lineage: Eukaryota; Viridiplantae; Streptophyta; Magnoliopsida; Fabales; Fabaceae.
AGUGGAACUGAUUUAACCACUGGUUCAAGUUUGUCCAGUACAAAUUCAAGAUCAUCUCCAAGUGGAACCGAUUUAUCAAUGAAUGGUUUCAAAAGUUUAUCUUCCAACUCCUCAAUGAAUGGAAAUUUAAUCAAUCCAAAUAACCACAAUAGCACCAGUUUAAACAACAAUCGAACCAACAAUUCCAACAGCAAUGCAAAUAAUUUAUCAUUAAAUUUAAGUUCCUGCAACGGUGACAACGACAUUAACAAUGGUUCAUCAAGUCCAAGUGAUCUAUCAACAAGCGGAUCCCUGAAUCGCGGAAUAAACUCAUUAGCACCUAAUUUAUUAUCCUCACCAGCAGCAGUAGCAGCGGCAGCAGCAGUCGCCCGAUCAAAUUUACCAAUCGACAAGUUUGCCCAGUUGAUGGCAGCUCAAGGACAGUUGCUUUUAACGGCAACUUUGGCCCAACAAUUGCAACAAGCAUCAACAGUAAAGCAACAGGCGCCCGUCGCAACAAAUUUAAGCGGAUUCCCAUUGAAUGAUAUCCAAACGAUUCAACAACAAUUGCAACAACAACAGCAAAACUUUCAAAACCUUCAACAAUUGCUGCUCCUUCAAUCGACUGGACAAUUGAC